UUUCUAAUUUUAUCCACACCGUGCUCCUAUCAUUCUCUUUCUCUCUUAGAAUCAACCUCUCACCACUGUGACAACUGGUCGGCACCCAACGACGACGCCAGUGUCAAAUAGGGUUUCAAUAAAUGAUUAUCCAAGCCUAAAAUCCGUUGCUAGGGUUUCUUGCAGUUUCGUUGAGUUUGUGGUAUGGAUAUUAUGGGAACUAUCAUUUGACAUUGGGACCAAAUUGGUCGUGGUUGUUAAAGGCAAGUUCUAUCUUUGUUGAUGAGAUUUAGAUUAGAGAUGAUGUAAAGAAAGGGGUUGUACUUUAUGGGUUCCGAGAAAAACCAGAAUUGAGCUUGCAAACUAAUUGAAACAUCUCAAAUUAUGUCAUUAUUGGACCAUACCAUAAACAGGAAUUCAUCUUUGUUGGAAUUUUGAGAAUCAGAAGAAGUUUUUUGUAUACCAAGUGUUAUAAAUGAAACUAUAUGUUUUUGAGAAUGGAUGAUAAAAGUUGUAUUUUAUGUAUUUGUGACUUAAAUGUUUUGAAUGGAGAAUGGAUGUUUA
Long non-coding RNA from Nelumbo nucifera (sacred lotus), 543 nucleotides. RefSeq lists it as uncharacterized. Lineage: Eukaryota; Viridiplantae; Streptophyta; Magnoliopsida; Proteales; Nelumbonaceae. The record is from RefSeq and is a predicted model, not a curated record.